CCUACGGGAGGCUGCAGUGGGGAAUAUUUGGCAAUGGGCGCAAGCCUGACCCAGCAACGCCGCGUGAAGGAAGAAGGCUUUCGGGUUGUAAACUUCUUUUGUCAGGGACGAGUAGAAGACUGUACCUGACGAAUAAGCCACGGCUAACUCCGUGCCAGCAGCCGCGGUAAUACGUAGGUGGCAAGCGUUGUCCGGAUUUACUGGGUGUAAAGGGCGUGUAGCCGGGUUGACAAGUCAGAUGUGAAAUCCUGCGUCUUACCCGCAGAACUGCAUUUGAAACUGGUGAUCUUGCGUACUGGAGGGGCAGACGGAAUUCCUAGGGGAGCGGUGAAAUGCGUAGAUAUGAGGAGGAACACCAGUGGCGAAGGCGGCCUGCUGGACGACAAAGGACGGUGAGGCGCGAAAGCGUGGGGAGCAAACAGGAUUAGAUACCCGUGUAGUC
RNAcentral lists this ribosomal RNA (442 nucleotides) under uncultured bacterium. RNAcentral's name for it is "partial 16S ribosomal RNA". It matches the Rfam family "Bacterial small subunit ribosomal RNA", at positions 338 to 795 of the family's 1533-position model. The record is from RNAcentral.